AAUCAACGCUGGCGGCGUGCCUCAGACAUGCAAGUCGAACGCGAAAGUUUCCUUCGGGGAACAAGUAGAGUGGCGCACGGGUGAGUAACACGUAGGUAAUCUACCUUUGGAUGGGGAAUAACAACCGGAAACGGUUGCUAAUACCGCAUAAUGCAGCGGCACCGUAAUGGUGACAGUUGUUAAAGCGGGGAUCGAAGACCUCGCGUCUGAAGAGGAGCCUG
Molecule: ribosomal RNA, 221 nt
Filed under: uncultured bacterium
Lineage: Bacteria
Description: partial 16S ribosomal RNA
Rfam family: Bacterial small subunit ribosomal RNA
Source: RNAcentral